GCGUUGGCCAAUUGAUUGAUGGUGCUUGCACCUGAUUGAUUUUCGUUGCCAACGAGUGGCGGACGGGUGAGUAACACGUAGGUAACCUGCCCAGAAGCGGGGGACAACAUUUGGAAACAGAUGCUAAUACCGCAUAACAGCGUUGUUCGCAUGAACAACGCUUAAAAGAUGGCUUCUCGCUAUCACUUCUGGAUGGACCUGCGGUGCAUUAGCUUGUUGGUGGGGUAACGGCCUACCAAGGCGAUGAUGCAUAGCCGAGUUGAGAGACUGAUCGGCCACAAUGGGACUGAGACACGGCCCAUACUCCUACGGGAGGCAGCAGUAGGGAAUCUUCCACAAUGGGCGCAAGCCUGAUGGAGCAACACCGCGUGAGUGAAGAAGGGUUUCGGCUCGUAAAGCUCUGUUGUUAAAGAAGAACACGUAUGAGAGUAACUGUUCAUACGUUGACGGUAUUUAACCAGAAAGUCACGGCUAACUACGUGCCAGCAGCCGCGGUAAUACGUAGGUGGCAAGCGUUAUCCGGAUUUAUUGGGCGUAAAGAGAGUGCAGGCGGUUUUCUAAGUCUGAUGUGAAAGCCUUCGGCUUAACCGGAGAAGUGCAUCGGAAACUGGAUAACUUGAGUGCAGAAGAGGGUAGUGGAACUCCAUGUGUAGCGGUGGAAUGCGUAGAUAUAUGGAAGAACACCAGUGGCGAAGGCGGCUACCUGGUCUGCAACUGACGCUGAGACUCGAAAGCAUGGGUAGCGAACAGGAUUAGAUACCCUGGCAGUCCAUGCCG
RNAcentral lists this ribosomal RNA (777 nucleotides) under uncultured bacterium. RNAcentral describes it as "bacterial SSU rRNA". It matches the Rfam family "Bacterial small subunit ribosomal RNA", at positions 39 to 802 of the family's 1533-position model. The record is from RNAcentral.